RNAcentral lists this ribosomal RNA (253 nucleotides) under uncultured bacterium. RNAcentral describes it as "partial 16S ribosomal RNA". It matches the Rfam family "Archaeal small subunit ribosomal RNA", at positions 474 to 727 of the family's 1478-position model. The record is from RNAcentral.
UACCAGCACCCCGAGUGGUCGGGACGAUUAUUGGGCCUAAAGCAUCCGUAGCCGGUCCUACAAGUCUUCCGUUAAAUCCACCUGCUUAACAGAUGGGCUGCGGAAGAUACUAUAGGGCUAGGAGGCGGGAGAGGCAAGCGGUACUCAGUGCGUAGGGGUAAAAUCCUCUGAUCCAUUGAAGACCACCAGUGGCGAAGGCGGCUUGCCAGAACGCGCUCGACGGUGAGGGAUGAAAGCUGGGGGAGCAAACCGG